AGCAGCGUAGCUGAACAUCUUACGGAUGGCCCAGGGCUCCAAAGGCUCGUUUCCUAAGUGAGAGAGAGCCUGGCUGAAGCUGUAUUACCAUUCAUUCUCCAGCCUCCGAAGUCUCAAAGCAUCACUUCCACCAUACUCUAACUGUCAAGACAAACACAAAGGCCCAGAAACUGCCAGACUGUCUUCUGAAGUGGCUAUAAUAUUUACACUCCCAUCAGCAGUGUAGAAGGGGUCUCACUAUGUUGUCUGGAGUGCUGUGGUGGAGUGGAGUGGCUAUUCACAGAGCCUGUUCUGCUGGGACACAGAAUCACUUGCUCCAUCUCAUACAUUGAUGAUGAUUAAUUUGUAUGUGUACCUUCCAAAAAAGAUGGUUGUGUUUGAAUGGAGGCCUUCUGGACAGGAAAAUAUGGAGAGUGCGUGCUUUGGAUUCAAGACUGGGAAUGAGGGGACCAGAAACCUAUUCUGUGGCUGUUUCUUGUUAGGACUUUCCUAAGCCUCUGGAAAAGGUUCAAUCCUGCUGAUGCUCUCCAUGGAGAUGGUCAGCAAGUGCAAAGUACAAUUAACAUUUGAGUCUGUCUGAGUCAUGAAGAAAUGGAGAUUACUG
RNAcentral lists this long non-coding RNA (604 nucleotides) under Homo sapiens (human). Its description in RNAcentral is "non-protein coding LINC00635:20". The record is from RNAcentral. Lineage: Eukaryota; Metazoa; Chordata; Mammalia; Primates; Hominidae.